ACGGAAGGCAGCAGUGGGGGAUAUUGCACAAUGGGGGGAACCCUGAUGCAGCGACGCCGCGUGAGCGAAGAAGAUCUUCGGAUUGUAAAGCUCUGUCUUAGGGGACGAUAAUGACGGUACCCUGAGAGGAAGCCACGGCUAACUACGUGCCAGCAGCCGCGGUAAUACGUAGGUGGCAAGCGUUGUCCGGAAUUACUGGGUGUAAAGGGAGCGCAGGCGGGUCGACAAGUUGGAAGUGAAAAUUACGGGCUCAACUCGUAAACUGCUUUCAAAACUGCCGAUCUCGAGUGGUGUAGAGGUAGGCGGAAUUCCCGGUGUAGCGGUGGAAUGCGUAGAUAUCGGGAGGAACAUCAGUGGCGAAGGCGGUUUACUGGACGACAACUGACGCUGAGACACGAAAGCGUGGGGAGCAAACAGGAUUAGAUACCCUGGUA
Molecule: ribosomal RNA, 434 nt
Rfam family: Bacterial small subunit ribosomal RNA